Molecule: transfer RNA, 73 nt
Filed under: Vicugna pacos (alpaca)
Lineage: Eukaryota; Metazoa; Chordata; Mammalia; Artiodactyla; Camelidae
Description: tRNA-Ala (AGC) (tRNA-Ala-AGC-623-1)
Rfam family: tRNA
About the family: Transfer RNA (tRNA) molecules are approximately 80 nucleotides in length. Their secondary structure includes four short double-helical elements and three loops (D, anti-codon, and T loops).
Source: RNAcentral
GGAGGGUACAGCUCAGUGGUAGAGUGCAUGCCUAGCAUGCAUGAGGUCCUGGGUUCAAUCCCCAGUACCUCCA